Molecule: non-coding RNA, 22 nt
Filed under: Arabidopsis thaliana (thale cress)
Lineage: Eukaryota; Viridiplantae; Streptophyta; Magnoliopsida; Brassicales; Brassicaceae
Source: RNAcentral
CUUCAAGGUUUCUGGAGAUGCC